UAGCGCCAUCAAGUGGAGUCAAUAUGCAGCCAUUAUAUUGUGUCAAGAGGAGGAGCUUAGUUUUACAAAUUAUGUGUCAUGAGAGGAACUGAGUGAAUGUUCCAAGAGAAGAUCAUUUAACAGAGAAGUCUCUGUCUCACACCCAGUCGCUAUGAUGCUGCUCUUUUCAGUCUUGUUUUUGUGCACUUAUAGGACAUAAUUUCUCCAGAUGUAGUGGAUGUUAUGGAGGGUAGUAGCAUUAAUCUCUCCUGUAGAUGCAUCAGCUCAUUAACCAACAGUCUGUUAUGGUACCUCCAGCACCCUGGAUCCUCUCCACAGUUCCUCAUACUGGACUACUCUGGGAUCAUAACCAACACUGAUAGUACAAAAUGGACCCUCAUACAUGAAGAAGAGAACAACCGUGUGGAUCUGGAGAUCUCCUCUGCUGAAGUGACAGACUCUGCUCUGUAAUACUGUGCACUGACGCCCACAGUGACAGGAAACCCAGAUACACAGUAGAAAAACUGAUCUUGACCAGUGGUGUAAAGGAAUUAAGUUAAAAUACUGUAAAGUACUACUUAAUGAGUUUUUGGGGAUUACUUUCUUUUUUUAUAUUUUUGACAAUACUUUUACUUCACUACAUUCAGAAUUUUGUAUUCUGAAUGUAAAUCCGAGAUACCAAAUGUGUGUAGAGGGUAGUUUUGCUGUCCUGCAACUACUCCUCAACAUACAGUGUUUUGUGGUAUAAACAGGGUCAGCUCCCCAAUUCCUCCUCUUCAUCCGCCAUGACUCCAUAUUCUCACCUCACUUUUAAACUUGAGAUCUCCUCUUGAGAUCUCCUCUGCUGAAGUGAGACUUUUCUCUGUACGACUGUACUGUAGAGCUCACAUUGACAUGAAACAGAGACACACUGUACAAAAACUAUACGACAGUCUGUACUGUACUGCUGUGAUAUGACAUCCACAGUGCCUCAAAACUUAUUGACUCAGCAGUGAAAUCAAUGUUAUGGAUUUACAACAUCUGCAGUCUUCUGUUAGUCCACAGUGCCAUCGUUCUCUAGUGAACGAAUGAAAUGUUUAUGAAACAUAUUUGAUUCUACAUUACCAGUAGGAGGAGCUAGAGUAUAAACCUCAGGAUUAGAUUAUGAAUCCUCAGGAUAAAACAUGAUACUACCAUGAAGAUCAUAGCCAGUUGAUGCUGUGCUUUUCAUCAGCAGCUGAUGCUUAUUCUACACAUCCUGCCAUCUACAAUGUUGUUCUGUUCACUAUUACUCUUCUUUGACUUGAAAGGUCUCAGUUCUGAACAGGUUUUAACACCCUACAGUGAUGUAGAAGUACCUUCAGAAAGGGACAGAGUUACUCUCUCUUGUAACUACACCUCUGGUGACACUCUUCAAUGGUAUCGACAACAUCCCAAUUCAGCACCAAAGUUACU
Molecule: long non-coding RNA, 1413 nt
Organism: Oncorhynchus keta (chum salmon)
Lineage: Eukaryota; Metazoa; Chordata; Actinopteri; Salmoniformes; Salmonidae
Exons: 3
Source: RefSeq, a predicted model, not a curated record